GAAACAUCUCCCAGUUUGUUCAGUCAAACAACUAACAAUCAACCGACCAAAAUGUCCAAGAUGAUCCUGUCCAUCACUUUCUUCCUGCUCUUGUGUCUGUGCAGCAACUCCGCAGCAGACAGCCGCGUUGCUGAAGAAAAGACGCAAUGCUGCACAAGGGUCUCAUUGAAAGAUAUCUCCAAACGCGUAGUAGGGGCCAUU
Molecule: long non-coding RNA, 201 nt
Organism: Scomber japonicus (chub mackerel)
Lineage: Eukaryota; Metazoa; Chordata; Actinopteri; Scombriformes; Scombridae
Exons: 3
Source: RefSeq, a predicted model, not a curated record